CUAUAACCACUGAACCAUGAAAAUGAGGUCAAGGUCAGAUGACACCUGCCAGUUGGACAUGUACACCUUACAGUCCUUCCAUACACUGAAUAUACUAGACCUAUUGCUUAUAGUAUCUGAGAUAUGGACUUGACCACUAAAACUUAACCUUGUUCACUGAUCCAUGAAAUGAGGUCGAGGUCAAGUGAAAACUGUCUGACGGGCAUGAGGACCUUGCAAGGUACGCACAUACCAAAU
This 237-nucleotide long non-coding RNA is filed under the name Mytilus galloprovincialis (Mediterranean mussel). The record is from RNAcentral. Lineage: Eukaryota; Metazoa; Mollusca; Bivalvia; Mytilida; Mytilidae.